AAGGGAAGCUGCCUUUUUUACCUCAGUGUCAUGACGCUGGGGAGGAGGAGCUGCUGCCACAGAGAAUCCCGUCAACAUCAUCUAAGCCAGGCCGGGCCUCAAGACUGAUCUCCCCGUAAGCUUCGCAGAAACGCAAGCCAGUCACUUCCUCUCAAAUGGACACGAUGACCAGGCUGAAUCCGUCUGGGAUUUGAGGAGAGAGGAAAAGGUUUCCACUGGCCAAGGAACCCAACUACAGCAAGUUUAGUUAAAAGACUAUUCAUUGGCAUCUGUUUGCAACUCCAGACCCAGGCAACACCUCAUUGUACAGGACAAGUGUUCUCCUGAGCUGAGCAGAAGAAGCGGCUUCAAAGGCAGAAAAGGGCUGAAGAAAACAGAAACAGAACCAA
Heterocephalus glaber (naked mole-rat) is the source of this 389-nucleotide long non-coding RNA. RefSeq lists it as uncharacterized. NCBI's taxonomy places the organism in Eukaryota, Metazoa, Chordata, Mammalia, Rodentia, Bathyergidae. The record is from RefSeq and is a predicted model, not a curated record.